AAUCAACGCUGGCGGCGUGCCUCAGACAUGCAAGUCGAACGAUUAAGACUUCCUUCGGGAAGUGCAUAAAGUGGCGCACGGGUGAGUAACACGUAAGUAAUCUACCCUCGAGUGGGGAAUAACGUUCGGAAACGGACGCUAAUACCGCAUAACGCAGCGGCACCGCAAGGUGACAGUUGUUAAAGGAGCAAUCCGCUUGAGGAGGAGCUUGCGGCAGAUUAGCUAGUUGGUAGGGUAAUGGCUUACCAAGGCUACGAUCUGUAUCCGGUCUAAGAGGACGGUCGGACACACUGACACUGAAUAACGGGUCAGACUCCUACGGGAGGCAGCAGUCGGGAAUUUUGGGCAAUGGGCGAAAGCCUGACCCAGCAACGCCGCGUGAAGGAUGAAGUAUUCGGUAUGUAAACUUCGAAAGAAUAGGAAGAAUAAAUGACGGUACUAUUUAUAAGCUCCGGCUAACUACGUGCCAGCAGCCGCGGUAA
Molecule: ribosomal RNA, 482 nt
Filed under: uncultured bacterium
Lineage: Bacteria
Description: bacterial SSU rRNA
Rfam family: Bacterial small subunit ribosomal RNA
Source: RNAcentral